RNAcentral lists this small RNA (54 nucleotides) under Caenorhabditis elegans. Its description in RNAcentral is "Unclassified non-coding RNA T01D3.9". Lineage: Eukaryota; Metazoa; Nematoda; Chromadorea; Rhabditida; Rhabditidae. The record is from RNAcentral.
GGUAAUAGGUGCCUUCAGUUGACCCCCUCAAGGUCGGAUUAUGAAGCUUAGAGA